Molecule: ribosomal RNA, 253 nt
Filed under: uncultured bacterium
Lineage: Bacteria
Description: partial 16S ribosomal RNA
Rfam family: Bacterial small subunit ribosomal RNA
Source: RNAcentral
UACGGAGGGUGUAAGCGUUAUCCGGAAUCACUGGGUUUAAAGGGUGCGUAGGCGGCCAAAUAAGUCAGAGGUGAAAGCUUGCAGCUUAACUGCGAAAUUGCCUUUGAUACUGUAUAGCUUGAAAGGAGCUGAGGUCAGCAGAAUGUGGCAUGUAGCGGUGAAAUGCAUAGAUAUGCCAUAGAAUACCAAUUGCGAAGGCAGCUGGCUGGGCUUACUUUGACGCUGGGGCACGAAAGCGUGGGGAUCGAACAGG